UGGGGAAUAUUGCACAAUGGGCGCAAGCCUGAUGCAGCCAUGCCGCGUGUAUGAAGAAGGCCUUCGGGUUGUAAAGUACUUUCAGCGAGGAGGAAGGCGUUGUGGUUAAUAACCGCAACGAUUGACGUUACUCGCAGAAGAAGCACCGGCUAACUCCGUGCCAGCAGCCGCGGUAAUACGGAGGGUGCAAGCGUUAAUCGGAAUUACUGGGCGUAAAGCGCACGCAGGCGGUCUGUCAAGUCGGAUGUGAAAUCCCCGGGCUCAACCUGGGAACUGCAUCCGAAACUGGCAGGCUAGAGUCUUGUAGAGGGGGGUAGAAUUCCAGGUGUAGCGGUGAAAUGCGUAGAGAUCUGGAGGAAUACCGGUGGCGAAGGCGGCCCCCUGGACAAAGACUGACACUGAGGUGCGAAAGCGUGGGGAGCAAACA
Molecule: ribosomal RNA, 427 nt
Filed under: uncultured bacterium
Lineage: Bacteria
Description: partial 16S ribosomal RNA
Rfam family: Bacterial small subunit ribosomal RNA
Source: RNAcentral